RNAcentral lists this signal recognition particle RNA (298 nucleotides) under Cebus imitator (Panamanian white-faced capuchin). RNAcentral describes it as "Metazoan signal recognition particle RNA (ENSCCAG00000004795.1)". It matches the Rfam family "Metazoan signal recognition particle RNA". From Rfam's summary of the family: The signal recognition particle (SRP) is a universally conserved ribonucleoprotein. It is involved in the co-translational targeting of proteins to membranes. The record is from RNAcentral. Lineage: Eukaryota; Metazoa; Chordata; Mammalia; Primates; Cebidae.
GCUGGGUGCAGUGGCACGUGCCUGUAGUCCCAGCUACUCGGGAGGCUGAGGUGGGAGGAUCGCUUGAGACCAGGAGUUCUGGGCUGUAGUGUGCUAUGCCGAUUGGGUGUCUGCACUAAGUUUGGUGUCAAUGGGGUGACUUCCCGGGAGCGGGGACCACCAGGUUGCCUAAGGAGGGGUGAACCGGCCCAGGUUGGAAACGGAGCAGGUCAAAACUCCCGUGCUGAUCAGCAGUUAGAUGGCAUCUGUGAAUAGCCACUGCACUUCAGCCUGGGCAACAUAGCAAGAACCUGUCUCU